GCAUCGCUACCGAGGAUGUCGCCGACGGCA
RNAcentral lists this non-coding RNA (30 nucleotides) under Homo sapiens (human). The record is from RNAcentral. Lineage: Eukaryota; Metazoa; Chordata; Mammalia; Primates; Hominidae.